RNAcentral lists this transfer RNA (69 nucleotides) under Ictidomys tridecemlineatus (thirteen-lined ground squirrel). Its description in RNAcentral is "Spermophilus tridecemlineatus (thirteen-lined ground squirrel) tRNA". It matches the Rfam family "tRNA". Rfam says of the family: Transfer RNA (tRNA) molecules are approximately 80 nucleotides in length. Their secondary structure includes four short double-helical elements and three loops (D, anti-codon, and T loops). Lineage: Eukaryota; Metazoa; Chordata; Mammalia; Rodentia; Sciuridae. The record is from Rfam by way of RNAcentral.
GGUGUUGUGGCUUAUCGGUAGAGCACUUGCCUGGCAUGUGCAGGGCCCUGGGUUCAAUCCUCAGCACCA